This is a long non-coding RNA of Rosa chinensis, 1690 nucleotides long. RefSeq lists it as uncharacterized. Lineage: Eukaryota; Viridiplantae; Streptophyta; Magnoliopsida; Rosales; Rosaceae. The transcript has 3 exons. The record is from RefSeq and is a predicted model, not a curated record.
CCCUAGAAACUCAAAACACAAUCUCUCUCUCUUCCUCGGCCGCACACCUAAUUCUCUCCUCUCUCCUUUCCACUUCUCUCUAUCGGAGACCACCAUUUCCGGCCACCAAUUCAAAACACGCCACCGCCAAUCGAUUCUGGACCCGAUUCCGAUCAAAACCCAAGAAGAUCACUGCCAUCCACCGCCGCCAGCCUCAUCAAUCGACCAUCAAAGUCACGACGGCGCUGCUCCCUAGCUCUCAUCAAGUUUCGGCCAUUUCCUCAACACACCCCCGCCAUCAGCGUGCUCAGAGGGAGCCGGACAUGAAAAUCCAGAAGCCUCGCCGCCGGCCGUACCUCGAAGGACCCCCCACGUUCCAUCACCGGAAUCCUAGACCCUGGGUUUCUCCGGUCUUCCUUCUCCAAAUCGAAUCGAGCUCCAAUACCUCCAAGAAUGGAGUCAGUGCCUCUCCUUUUAUCCAAACCAAGGGCCCGACUUCUGAUUUCAACCAGAGCCGCCGUGAACGCCGCCGGAUUAUCCUCUUCGUUCUGGUAACCCAUUCUCCCAAGCCUCUCAUUAGUUGAUAGGUUGAGUUUCAAUUUCACUCUAAUGGAGUUAUUAAUGCUCAGUUCUUUUGAUUGUUGUUCUUGAAUUUCGUACUUGGAGGAAACAGGGGAAAUUGAAAUGUAAAGGGGAGCUUCUAGUCUUGAUUUCGAUUGAUUUUUAAAGGGAUGAUGAGGAAUUAAGGAGGGCUGCUGGAGGCAGCAGGUCAUUGAGACUAUUGUCUCGGCAGAUAUGAUAGAGGUUUCUGUGUUGGAAGUGUAGUAGCUACAUCUGUCUUUCUCCGCCUUGAAGGGCAAGCAUUAUUCCUGCAACUAUGUUGAUCAUUCUGGCUGGAAGGUUCAAAGACAAGAGGGUUGGCCUUUUGAAGUGCAUAAAUUGCAGUAAAGGAACAAGGGCAAUAAGGUCUGUGAGCCAAAUUCAGAUGCGAGAGAAGCGGGGGUUUUGAAAUUGAAGCUGAGGUUGCAGAGGACAAGGGGUUAAGGCACAACAUAGAUGACACUUGGGUUCUGCUCCUGGAUGCGAGCUUGGAUUUUCAAAGAAAAUUGAGGUUCCUAAUGCUUUGGUUUUGUUUAUUAUGCAUGGUGUUCGGGUCUGAUGUAGUAUUGUAAAUGAAGUAUUGUUGGAAGGUGUUUUGUAAAGUAACAGAAUUUGAACGUUGACUAGCAUUAUAGUAUGCUAAGAAGCAUUUGCAUACAGAUCUGCUUUCAGUUGGAUUACCACUUGAGGUCGUUUGUUUACAGUUUACGUGGUUUGAUUUCAUGUCUAUGUUAGGCACUUAAUAGCUUAUAUUAAAAUAAUCAUGAUUUGAUGACAAUUAAUAGGUAAUAAGAUUAGAUCUGAGUAUUAAGUCUCAUGUAGGAAUCAUGAGGUUACUGCAUUAACAAUUUGCAUCCCUACAAUCUGUUGGAGACUAAUUGGAUUAUGUGGUGUUGCAGUUGAAUGUAAAAGCAGCCAAGGAAGCCACUCUGGAUGGUGCAAAUUUAUUGUGCAAUUUUGCCACUUAUUUUGCAAGAUAUAUUUUUUUGUAUUGCAUACUUCAUCCAUUUUGGAUUGCUGCUUGGUAGCUGAUAUGUAUUUGAACUUCCCUAUUUUAGAUUCUGGGAAACUGAUGAGGCUAUUCAUAUGCACACGUGGUAAUUUGAUGUAU